UUGAACGCUGGCGGCAGGCCUAACACAUGCAAGUCGAGCGGAAACGAGUUAUCUGAACCUUCGGGGAACGAUAACGGCGUCGAGCGGCGGACGGGUGAGUAAUGCCUAGGAAAUUGCCCUGAUGUGGGGGAUAACCAUUGGAAACGAUGGCUAAUACCGCAUGAUGCCUACGGGCCAAAGAGGGGGACCUUCGGGCCUCUCGCGUCAGGAUAUGCCUAGGUGGGAUUAGCUAGUUGGUGAGGUAAGGGCUCACCAAGGCGACGAUCCCUAGCUGGUCUGAGAGGAUGAUCAGCCACACUGGAACUGAGACACGGUCCAGACUCCUACGGGAGGCAGCAGUGGGGAAUAUUGCACAAUGGGCGCAAGCCUGAUGCAGCCAUGCCGCGUGUGUGAAGAAGGCCUUCGGGUUGUAAAGCACUUUCAGUCGUGAGGAAGGUGGUGUAGUUAAUAGCUGCAUUAUUUGACGUUAGCGACAGAAGAAGCACCGGCUAACUCCGUGCCAGCAGCCGCGGUAAUACGGAGGGUGCGAGCGUUAAUCGGAAUUACUGGGCGUAAAGCGCAUGCAGGUGGUUUGUUAAGUCAGAUGUGAAAGCCCGGGGCUCAACCUCGGAAUAGCAUUUGAAACUGGCAGACUAGAGUACUGUAGAGGGGGGUAGAAUUUCAGGUGUAGCGGUGAAAUGCGUAGAGAUCUGAAGGAAUACCGGUGGCGAAGGCGGCCCCCUGGACAGAUACUGACACUCAGAUGCGAAAGCGUGGGGAGCAAACAGGAUUAGAUACCCUGGUAGUCCACGCCGUAAACGAUGUCUACUUGGAGGUUGUGGCCUUGAGCCGUGGCUUUCGGAGCUAACGCGUUAAGUAGACCGCCUGGGGAGUACGGUCGCAAGAUUAAAACUCAAAUGAAUUGACGGGGGCCCGCACAAGCGGUGGAGCAUGUGGUUUAAUUCGAUGCAACGCGAAGAACCUUACCUACUCUUGACAUCCAGAGAACUUUCCAGAGAUGGAUUGGUGCCUUCGGGAACUCUGAGACAGGUGCUGCAUGGCUGUCGUCAGCUCGUGUUGUGAAAUGUUGGGUUAAGUCCCGCAACGAGCGCAACCCUUAUCCUUGUUUGCCAGCGAGUAAUGUCGGGAACUCCAGGGAGACUGCCGGUGAUAAACCGGAGGAAGGUGGGGACGACGUCAAGUCAUCAUGGCCCUUACGAGUAGGGCUACACACGUGCUACAAUGGCGCAUACAGAGGGCGGCCAACUUGCGAAAGUGAGCGAAUCCCAAAAAGUGCGUCGUAGUCCGGAUUGGAGUCUGCAACUCGACUCCAUGAAGUCGGAAUCGCUAGUAAUCGUGGAUCAGAAUGCCACGGUGAAUACGUUCCCGGGCCUUGUACACACCGCCCGUCACACCAUGGGAGUGGGCUGCAAAAGAAGUAGGUAGUUUAACCUUCGGGGGGACGCUUACCACUUUGUGGUUCAUGAC
This 1467-nucleotide ribosomal RNA is filed under the name Vibrio sp. I9(2015). Its description in RNAcentral is "bacterial SSU rRNA". It matches the Rfam family "Bacterial small subunit ribosomal RNA". The record is from RNAcentral. Lineage: Bacteria; Pseudomonadati; Pseudomonadota; Gammaproteobacteria; Vibrionales; Vibrionaceae.